AGAGCCCAAGAUUGAAAGCUGGCGUCUUCGGCGUCCGCAUUGUAAUCUCAAGAAGUGUUUUCCGCUUCGGACCAAGCCUAAGUCCCUUGGAAAAGGGCAUCAUAGAGGGUGAUAAUCCCGUACAUGGCUUGGAGCGCCCGAAGCUUUGUGAUACGCUUUCUAAGAGUCGAGUUGUUUGGGAAUGCAGCUCAAAAUGGGUGGUAAAUGCCAUCUAAGGCUAAAUAUUGGGGAGAGACCGAUAGCGAACAAGUACAGUGAUGGAAAGAUGAAAAGAACUUUGAAAAGAGAGUUAAACAGUACGUGAAAUUGCCAAAAGGGAAGGGUAGGAGGUCAGAGAUGCGGCCUGGGAUUCAGCCUUGCUUUUGCUUGGUGUUUUUCCCAGAUUGCAGGCCAACGUCGGUUUUGGGCACUGGAGAAGGGUAGGAGGAACGUGGCACCUCUCGGGGUGUGUUAUAGCCUCCUACUGGAUACAGCGACCGAGACCGAGGACAGCAGCGUACUCGCAAGAGCGGGCCUUCGGGCACCUUUACGCUUAGGGCGUUGGCAUAAUGGCCCUCUACCACCCGUCUUGAAACACGGACCA
RNAcentral lists this ribosomal RNA (583 nucleotides) under Moesziomyces aphidis. RNAcentral describes it as "partial large subunit ribosomal RNA". It matches the Rfam family "Eukaryotic large subunit ribosomal RNA", at positions 104 to 668 of the family's 3401-position model. Lineage: Eukaryota; Fungi; Basidiomycota; Ustilaginomycetes; Ustilaginales; Ustilaginaceae. The record is from RNAcentral.